This is a long non-coding RNA of Zingiber officinale, 621 nucleotides long. RefSeq lists it as uncharacterized. The transcript has 4 exons. The record is from RefSeq and is a predicted model, not a curated record. Lineage: Eukaryota; Viridiplantae; Streptophyta; Magnoliopsida; Zingiberales; Zingiberaceae.
GUUAAAAUAUUUUUCCCUUUUCCCUUCGCUAAACCCCUAAGCCCAGCGAUCCCGAAGAAGCCUCCUCCUUUUCCUCUUUCUCCGCAGCCAGUGCAGAUCCCGCUAUGUCUUCCGUAUCUUUGUUAGGGUUAUUAUGGGCUACCGUAGCCAAGUCCCAAAUGGUAUCUUCUAUGAUUUAUUUCCCCCCUCAUUUUUCUUUAAUUGGCAGCGGAUUCGAGCUUGCACGAACGCUUAGCUGAUCGAUCGGCUUGUCCCAAUCGAGAUACAGUGAUUGCCGCAAAGGCAACGGAGAGGGUAUUAAGAAGGAUGGUAUGAUGGUGGAAGCAUUGCCUUUGCAAUUAUUCUUGUUAUUGUAGUAACAGGUAUCCCCAGUAAAUUUAGUCGUAUUCUUCAUCGACAAGAAACUAUCAGAAAUGUCUGACCGUUUUGGUGGCUCCCAGCCAUGGCUGCCACCCAGGAAGAAAAUGGAAAGUUUAGAGAAAGCAAGUUACUGAAGAUGCGGCUGAUUGGGAAUGACCUCUUUGAUCAGAAAUAUUUCUUUCAACUGUACGCGUACAUAAUUUGUGGCUUGGUGUACUAUAGAGUUAAAGUCGUUCCGUAUAUUACUUGGUUAAAUUGAAA